This 1343-nucleotide ribosomal RNA is filed under the name uncultured bacterium. RNAcentral describes it as "16S ribosomal RNA". It matches the Rfam family "Bacterial small subunit ribosomal RNA", at positions 28 to 1378 of the family's 1533-position model. The record is from RNAcentral.
GACGAACGCUGGCGGCGUGCUUAACACAUGCAAGUCGAACGGAAAGGCCCUGCUUUUGUGGGGUGCUCGAGUGGCGAACGGGUGAGUAACACGUGAGUAACCUGCCCUUGACUUUGGGAUAACUUCAGGAAACUGGGGCUAAUACCGGAUAGGAGCUCCUGCUGCAUGGUGGGGGUUGGAAAGUUUCGGCGGUUGGGGAUGGACUCGCGGCUUAUCAGCUUGUUGGUGGGGUAGUGGCUUACCAAGGCUUUGACGGGUAGCCGGCCUGAGAGGGUGACCGGCCACAUUGGGACUGAGAUACGGCCCAGACUCCUACGGGAGGCAGCAGUGGGGAAUAUUGCACAAUGGGCGGAAGCCUGAUGCAGCAACGCCGCGUGCGGGAUGACGGCCUUCGGGUUGUAAACCGCUUUCGCCUGUGACGAAGCGUGAGUGACGGUAAUGGGUAAAGAAGCACCGGCUAACUACGUGCCAGCAGCCGCGGUGAUACGUAGGGUGCGAGCGUUGUCCGGAUUUAUUGGGCGUAAAGGGCUCGUAGGUGGUUGAUCGCGUCGGAAGUGUAAUCUUGGGGCUUAACCCUGAGCGUGCUUUCGAUACGGGUUGACUUGAGGAAGGUAGGGGAGAAUGGAAUUCCUGGUGGAGCGGUGGAAUGCGCAGAUAUCAGGAGGAACACCAGUGGCGAAGGCGGUUCUCUGGGCCUUUCCUGACGCUGAGGAGCGAAAGCGUGGGGAGCGAACAGGCUUAGAUACCCUGGUAGUCCACGCUGUAAACGGUGGGUACUAGGUGUGGGGUCCACUCCACGGGUUCCGUGCCGUAGCUAACGCUUUAAGUACCCCGCCUGGGGAGUACGGCCGCAAGGCUAAAACUCAAAGGAAUUGACGGGGCCCCGCACAAGCGGCGGAGCAUGCGGAUUAAUUCGAUGCAACGCGUAGAACCUUACCUGGGUUUGACAUGGAUCGGGAGCGCUCAGAGAUGGGUGUGCCUCUUUUGGGGUCGGUUCACAGGUGGUGCAUGGCUGUCGUCAGCUCGUGUCGUGAGAUGUUGGGUUAAGUCCCGCAACGAGCGCAACCCUUGUUCACUGUUGCCAGCACGUUAUGGUGGGGACUCAGUGGAGACCGCCGGGGUCAACUCGGAGGAAGGUGGGGAUGACGUCAAGUCAUCAUGCCCCUUAUGUCCAGGGCUUCACGCAUGCUACAAUGGCUGGUACAGAGAGUGGCGAGCCUGUGAGGGUGAGCGAAUCUCGGAAAGCCGGUCUCAGUUCGGAUUGGGGUCUGCAACUCGACCUCAUGAAGUCGGAGUCGCUAGUAAUCGCAGAUCAGCAACGCUGCGGUGAAUACGUUCCCGGG